This 507-nucleotide ribosomal RNA is filed under the name uncultured Glomus. RNAcentral's name for it is "SSU rRNA". It matches the Rfam family "Eukaryotic small subunit ribosomal RNA", at positions 569 to 1078 of the family's 1831-position model. Lineage: Eukaryota; Fungi; Glomeromycota; Glomeromycetes; Glomerales; Glomeraceae. The record is from RNAcentral.
AGCAGCCGCGGUAAUUCCAGCUCCAAUAGCGUAUAUUAAAGUUGUUGCAGUUAAAAAGCUCGUAGUUGAAUUUCGGGAUCAAUAUGUCGGUCGUGCCUUGGUACGUACUGGUAUCAUUGGUCUCUCCUUUCUGACGAACCAUGAUGUCAUUAAUUUGGUGUUAUGGGAAGUUAGGACUGUUACUUUGAAAAAAUUAGAGUGUUUAAAGCAGGCUUUAGCUUGAAUACAUUAGCAUGGAAUAAUGAAAUAGGACGUUCGAACCUAUUUUGUUGGUUUCUAGGAUCAACGUAAUGAUUAAUAGGGAUAGUUGGGGGCAUUAGUAUUCAAUUGUCAGAGGUGAAAUUCUUGGAUUUAUUGAAGACUAACUACUGCGAAAGCAUUUGCCAAGGAUGUUUUCAUUAAUCAAGAACGAAAGUUAGGGGAUCGAAGACGAUCAGAUACCGUCGUAGUCUUAACCAUAAACUAUGCCGACUAGGGAUCGGAUGAUGUUAAUUUUUUAAUGACUCA